GAUGAAGAACGUAGCGAAAUGCGAUAAGUAAUGUGAAUUGCAGAAUUCAGUGAAUCAUCGAAUCUUUGAACGCACAUUGCGCCCGCCAGUAUUCUGGCGGGCAUGCCUGUUCGAGCGUCAUUUCAACCAUCAAGCCCCCGGCUUGUGUUGGGGACCUGCGGCUGCCGCAGGCCCUGAAAACCAGUGGCGGGCUCGCUAGUCACUCCGAGCGUAGUAAUACAUCUCGCUCAGGGCGUGCUGCGGGUUCCGGCCGUUAAAAAGCCUUAUUUACCCAAGGUUGACCUCGGAUCAGGUAGGAAGACCCGCUGAACUUAAGCAUAUCAAUAAGCCGGAGGA
This 336-nucleotide unclassified non-coding RNA is filed under the name soil metagenome. RNAcentral's name for it is "partial contains 5.8S ribosomal RNA, internal transcribed spacer 2, and large subunit ribosomal RNA". The stretch from base 1 to 120 matches the Rfam family "5.8S ribosomal RNA", at positions 35 to 154 of the family's 154-position model. The record is from RNAcentral.